ACGGCUCAGUAACACGUGGACAACCUACCCUGAGGUCGGGGAUAAACCCGGGAAACUGGGUAUAAUACCCGAUAGAUCUAGAAUGCUGGAAUGCUUUUAGAUCUAAAGUUCCGACGCCUCAGGAUGGGUCUGCGGCCUAUCAGGGUAGUAGUAGGUGUAACGUACCUACUAGCCUACGACGGGUACGGGUUGUGAGAGCAAGAGCCCGGAGAUGGAUUCUGAGACACGAAUCCAGGCCCUACGGGGUGCAGCAGGCGCGAAACCUUUACAAUGCUGGCAACAGCGAUAAGGGGACCUCGAGUGCCACGAUACAAUCGUGGCUGUCUAGUUGCCUAAAAAGCAAUUGAUAGCAAGGGCCGGGCAAGACCGGUGCCAGCCGCCGCGGUAACACCGGCGGCUCGAGUGGUAACCGCUAUUAUUUGGUCUAAAGGGUCUGUAGCCGGCUUAGUCAGUCUUUUGAGAAAUCUGGCCGCUCAACGGUCAGGCGUUCAGGGGAUACUGCUAAAGCUCGAGACCGGGAGAGGUGAGAGGUACUUCAGGGGUAGGGGUGAAAUCUUGUAAUCCUUGAAGGACCACCAGUGGCGAAGGCGUCUCACCAGAACGGAUCUGACGGCAAGGGACGAAAGCUAGGGGCACGAACCGGAUUAGAUACCCGGGUAGUCCUAGCCGUAAACGAUACUCGCUAGGUGUCGGCCACGGUGCGACCGUGGUCGGUGCCGUAGGGAAGCCGUGAAGCGAGCCACCUGGGAAGUACGGCCGCAAGGCUGAAACUUAAAGGAAUUGGCGGGGGAGCAC
RNAcentral lists this ribosomal RNA (795 nucleotides) under uncultured archaeon. RNAcentral's name for it is "bacterial SSU rRNA". It matches the Rfam family "Archaeal small subunit ribosomal RNA", at positions 85 to 879 of the family's 1478-position model. The record is from RNAcentral.